UGGGGAAUAUUGCACAAUGGGCGCAAGCCUGAUGCAGCCAUGCCGCGUGUAUGAAGAAGGCCUUCGGGUUGUAAAGUACUUUCAGUCGGGAGGAAGGUGGUAAGGUUAAUAACCUUAUCAAUUGACGUUACCGACAGAAGAAGCACCGGCUAACUCCGUGCCAGCAGCCGCGGUAAUACGGAGGGUGCAAGCGUUAAUCGGAAUUACUGGGCGUAAAGCGCACGCAGGCGGUUGAUUGAGUCAGAUGUGAAAUCCCCGGGCUCAACCUGGGAACUGCAUCUGAUACUGGCAAGCUUGAGUCUCGUAGAGGGGGGUAGAAGUCCAGGUGUAGCGGUGAAAUGCGUAGAGAUCUGGAGGAAUACCGGUGGCGAAGGCGGCCCCCUGGACGAAGACUGACGCUCAGGUGCGAAAGCGUGGGGAGCAAACAGG
Molecule: ribosomal RNA, 429 nt
Filed under: Chloroflexota bacterium
Lineage: Bacteria; Bacillati; Chloroflexota
Description: Chloroflexi bacterium partial 16S ribosomal RNA
Rfam family: Bacterial small subunit ribosomal RNA
Source: RNAcentral